AUAUAAAGUAUACUAUUAUAACAUAAAUGAAUUCUAUCAUUUUAUUAAUUAUAACAUCAUUAAUGUGUUUCAACAAUAUGAUUUACACAAUAAGAAGAUUAGUGUACAUGUAUUCUAAGGCAAUCAUAUCUGUUACCUUCAAAUUUCUGAAAACGUUGCAAAAUAUUUUUUUUAAAUUGCGAAAAAAUUAUCUAAUCAUGUAAAUAACUCAUAAACAUAUUAAUUCAUCAAUAUAUAAUUUUUUAAAAUUAUAUAAAUAGUAAAAACACAUUUUUAUGCCUAUAGACAAAAUAAGCCAAUCAUAAUGUUUCACUCGGAUUGCUGAUGUGGCGAGAUCUCAGCCAUUCAUCGGAUCUAAUACUUGAUCAAUUUACUCAAUCCAAUCAUAAUGUUUCACUCGGAUACACGACGUGGCAACAUCUCAGCCUUUCAAAGGCUUUGGCGGCUGCAUGUUUAAGGUAAUCUCAUCCGUUCAUCGCUCAACAAAGGCUUUGGCGAGAUUUUUUUUUUUUUUUUUUUUUUUUGGGCUAAAGGCGAGAUUCUCUUCAACCUUUCAUCCUUUCCUGACAUCGACUGAGACAAAAUUCACAAGAAAAUUAAUUCAGAUUAGGUCUUCUCUUUGGGCUAAAGGCGAGAUUCUUCACUGCAAGAAUCGCAUCCUCUACCGAGCUGAUGAAACCAUUAGCUUCUUCUUCUCUCUGUUUCUGCAAAUCAGACUCUUCCUCCAAGCUUCGCCUUUUGUUGUGUUUCUAUCCAAUUUUGACAGAUUUUGAUUGGGAAGAAUCAUUCCGAGCCAUGUCUCCGGCUAAAGAGAAAACAAAGUUGGUGUUACGAGUCUUGGUAAUUUCAUGAAGCUUGAUGGAUGUUUUUGUUGUUACUCUUGUGCAAAGUUUCUCAAAUUCUUGGGUGUUGGAAAAAGCAGCUUGUGGCAGCAAAAGAAGCAAGGCGGCGAGAUGUAUUUGUGUUAUAGGAUUGAUUUGAGUUAUAGACUACUCAAUGGGACUGUUAGGUUUCCGUGAAUUACCACGGAAAAUGAUGUGAGACAGAGGAGGAAGAUGAAGAUAGGAGACAGGGGCAGAUGAAGAGGCAUUCUAUGUAGAGGAGAUGUAUUGGUCUUGUAUUUUUAAUUGAUGUAGUAUUUUUAUAAAAGUUUUUGUAUAUUAUUUCAUGUAAUAAUGAUAAUAAAAU
This is a long non-coding RNA of Arabidopsis lyrata subsp. lyrata, 1188 nucleotides long. RefSeq lists it as uncharacterized. NCBI's taxonomy places the organism in Eukaryota, Viridiplantae, Streptophyta, Magnoliopsida, Brassicales, Brassicaceae. The transcript is spliced from 3 exons. The record is from RefSeq and is a predicted model, not a curated record.